Molecule: ribosomal RNA, 238 nt
Filed under: uncultured bacterium
Lineage: Bacteria
Description: partial 16S ribosomal RNA
Rfam family: Bacterial small subunit ribosomal RNA
Source: RNAcentral
UACAGAGACUGCAAGCGUUAUUCGGAUUCACUGGGCGUAAAGGGUGCGCAGGCGGCCAUGUGUGUGAGGCGUGAAAGCCCGAUGCUUAACAUCGGAAUUGCACCUCAAACUACAUGGCUAGAGCAUUGGAGAGGGUAGCGGAAUUCACGGUGUAGCAGUGAAAUGCGUAGAUAUCGAUGAGGAACACCAGAGGCGAAGGCGGCUACCUGGACAAUUGCUGACGCUCAGGCACGAAGCG